This 279-nucleotide ribosomal RNA is filed under the name uncultured bacterium. RNAcentral describes it as "partial 16S ribosomal RNA". It matches the Rfam family "Bacterial small subunit ribosomal RNA", at positions 506 to 784 of the family's 1533-position model. The record is from RNAcentral.
UGCCAGCAGCCGCGGUAAUACGGAGGGUGCAAGCGUUGUCCGGAAUCACUGGGUGUAAAGGGUGUGUAGGCGGGACAGCAAGUCAGAGGUGAAAUCCUACGGCUCAACCGUAGAACUGCCUUUGAGACUGCUGUUCUUGAGUCUCGGAGAGGUUACCAGAAUUCGUGGUGUAGCGGUGAAAUGCGUAGAUAUCACGAGGAAUACCCGUGGCGUAGGCAGGUAACUGGACGAGUACUGACGCUGAGGCACGAAAGCGUGGGGAGCAAACAGGAUUAGAUA